CAGACUGGAUCGACAGGGAACAAUCAAUCCAGUGGGGGUUGAUUUAUCGCGUCUAGUUUAGACUAGAUAAUUUGACUGCCGAGAGGUUGCCUGUUUAUUCUGCUAUUCCAGCAAAACGGAAAGGGUGUGUGAAGUCGAUGGGAGAGCAUCAGCUGUCAACUUACUGCUGUGACGAUACCAUGGAGCUGAGCCCUCUUCAGACAGCGGCCGAGCAGACUAACAUCUGACUGCCUGAGGAGGCUGAAGGCUCUGAGGAGUUACCAGAGAUGACACCGCCCAACUGCCAAGCAGCGAGGUGGAGCCUGGUGCCAACACAGCAGUGUUAGAGUGAGCAGCCAAUCUGCCAUGGUAACUACAGUCUUGAAAGUCGGGGGUGACGGAGGAGGCGAUCCAGCUGUGGGGUAUGAAUUCCUGGUGCUCUCAAUGGGACGGUCCACGUAGGCCUGCCUGCUACAACAAGAUAAGCUCCUAGCACCGUGAGGCCCUGAUCUCAGCUAAGGCCAGUAGGCACGACUGCAAAGCAAAUCCAUAAUAACUCCACUGCAGCCGUGAUUCCCAUCUGCCGUUAGCAAAGAGCACUGGAACCGCUGUCGGUCUGAAAGCCACCAAAAGUUGGUCAGUUUGUCAUCCGUCUGGAUUCAUCUGUUGGCACUCCUCCCGGUACCUCCCAAUCCCAUCUCCGACCUGCUCCAUCAUGCCUCAGCAGCCUCCUCCUUCCAUUCUCCCUUGAAGCUCGCCUGUUCCAAAAGGCCAGUGGCGCCCCACAGGGAAGUGGUAACGAAGCCAGCCAGCGGGAAUCCAAACAGACGCCCAGAAAAGUUCCAGACAGAACAAACGGAGUUAACAAGAAGGGAGCGCAUCUCAAGCUGGGAUUCCGGCUCUCUUCCCCUGCCCCCUGGUUAACCCAGUGGGAGCAGUCCGUCAGCCCCAGGGCACAAAAGCAGCUGCCACCUCAGCUCCCCCCUAUGCUAAGAUGAAGUGUAGAGCAGAUACUAAAGCCAGCAAAGAGGGUGUAGCUGGCGCUGCACUACAGGCUGCAGGGAAGGAAACAGGGCUGGCUCAUGUGGGCUCUGUUAGGUCAGCGGGUGAUCAGCGGUGUCACCGGUAUAAAUAACCCGUCGAGCACCUCAGAGCAGUAGAAAUAAAACUCAUGAAGGAUUGGGUCCGUCAAUGGCCAUUAGCCAGGAUGGGCAGGGAUGGUGGCCCCAGU
Non-coding RNA from Pelodiscus sinensis (Chinese soft-shelled turtle), 1210 nucleotides. NCBI's taxonomy places the organism in Eukaryota, Metazoa, Chordata, Testudines, Trionychidae. The record is from RefSeq and is a predicted model, not a curated record.